This 66-nucleotide transfer RNA is filed under the name Dipodomys ordii (Ord's kangaroo rat). It matches the Rfam family "tRNA". From Rfam's summary of the family: Transfer RNA (tRNA) molecules are approximately 80 nucleotides in length. The record is from Rfam by way of RNAcentral. Lineage: Eukaryota; Metazoa; Chordata; Mammalia; Rodentia; Heteromyidae.
GGUGGCUCAGUUGGUAGAGUGCUUGCCUGGCAUGCAUGAGGUCCUGGGUUCAAUUCCUCAGCACCA